This 253-nucleotide ribosomal RNA is filed under the name uncultured bacterium. Its description in RNAcentral is "partial 16S ribosomal RNA". It matches the Rfam family "Bacterial small subunit ribosomal RNA", at positions 524 to 776 of the family's 1533-position model. The record is from RNAcentral.
UACGUAGGGGGCAAGCGUUGUCCGGAUUUAUUGGGCGUAAAGAGCGUGUAGGCGGCCUGACAAGUCUGCUGUGAAAACCCGAGGCUCAACCUCGAGAUGUCGGCGGAAACUGUCUGGCUAGAGUCCGGAAGAGGAGAGUGGAAUUCCUGGUGUAGCGGUGAAAUGCGCAGAUAUCAGGAAGAACACCUAUGGCGAAGGCAGCUCUCUGGGACGGUACUGACGCUGAGACGCGAAAGCGUGGGGAGCGAACAGG